GGCAGGGUAGCUCAGUCGGUUAGAGCGUGGGAAUCAUAACCCCAAGGUCGCGAGUUCGAUCCUCGCCCCUGCUACCA
This 77-nucleotide transfer RNA is filed under the name candidate division CPR2 bacterium GWD2_39_7. RNAcentral's name for it is "tRNA-Met". It matches the Rfam family "tRNA". Rfam says of the family: Transfer RNA (tRNA) molecules are approximately 80 nucleotides in length. RNAcentral also lists the same sequence under 1 other name. Lineage: Bacteria; candidate division CPR2. The record is from RNAcentral.